AAUGGAAGAGGCAUAAGGGCUUUCAGAGAAGAAUUAUAUAACAAGUUCAAUAUUAUUUAAAGGGGAGAGAUGAUGUGUGUGAGUUUUAAUCUCCCACAUGGCUAACACAAAGGAUCUUUAGACUUCUUGAGAGUUUUGUUUUUGUUUUAAUCUUAAUUUAACUUUAUCUCAUAACGCAUUGCACUAGGUAUUAAGGAUAACAUGGUGAACAAAAGACUAAACCCUUGUCCUAUGGCUUCUCUAAUUAUUAUGUGGAAAGACACAGAAUACUGCAUAAAUGAAAUUAUGAACAUUACAGCCAGGGAAUCCAUUCUACAAGAAUAUGUGUACAAAGAUGUAUGUGCACAAAGGCUCACUGUAGCAUUAUUUGUAAGAGCAAACGUCAGUGUCCACCAAUUAGUGAAUGAUCACAUGGGCAGGGCACAUCCAUAUAACGCAAUACUGUGCUAACGAAUAAAGCGAAUGAGGAAGACUUAUAUCGACUGCCAUGAGAAUAUCUCCAAGGUAAUUGCAAAAAGCACACUGAUUAAGCCUUCGUAGGAGAGAUGUGCAUCCUGUCUAGGGAAAAAUUCUCAAGAGUCGCCUAGGAUAGCUCUUCCUUUUUGAAAUGGACCUGUAGCCUGAGGACCUCCAGACUUCACUCUGCUCCUGGGGAUUCGCCCUUCCCACCAGAGCAUUACCAGGCUUUUCCAUCUCCUACUCAUACAAUUGAUUACUGGACCUAAAUGCAGUGCGUCACAUUCCUGGCAUAUCCUAUCUCAUUGAUUUUAGACCAUCUUUCACCUUAUGGAAUUCAUAUUAAACCUUGG
This is a long non-coding RNA of Suricata suricatta (meerkat), 809 nucleotides long. RefSeq lists it as uncharacterized. Lineage: Eukaryota; Metazoa; Chordata; Mammalia; Carnivora; Herpestidae. The transcript is spliced from 6 exons. The record is from RefSeq and is a predicted model, not a curated record.